GGGAGAAUAGCUAAUUCUGAUGAGACACCUACAAGCUUCAAGUCAGUCUCGUGCACCAAUCAACUACCAGUUUUUGAGACAGAGUUGAUGAUGCUGCAGCAAGGUGCUUGGAAAGUACAAAACCAGCAACUAGCACUUAAAGGAGAGUUGAGUUCGCUGCAGCAAAAAGCUGGGAAGGAGCUGCUAAGGCACAUAUGGGCUGACAAUGGAGAAACACCAAAAACAAUAAGCCAUUUCUUUACUUUUCUCUUUAAUUGUAGUUUUAGAUUUUUGUUAGUAAUGUGCAUAGUCUUAACUAGCAUAGUAAAUGGUAGAAUUGAUAAUAUGUUGUUUUACAUAAAAAUAAAAAGAAUAAAUUUUGAUUUGUGGACAAUUUGAGAUUUUCUUUUUCUAUUGCACAUUUGUCUCUGUUCUUUGCUUUAGAUUCAUAUCUUUAGUUUGUUCCUUUAUUCUUNGUUCUGUUGAAUUCAUGUUAGAAUAUUUUUUAGUUCAGAUUGUGCUUUCAAUUUUCCUUUCAUUUAGGUUUUGCUGCAGUUUUAGGUAGUUAUAGUAUUUAGAUUUUUUUUCUUUGUUUUGAGUAGUUUAGACUGUUAUUUCCUUUUCUUUUAUAUUGCAUUUCAGUUUCUUUAUUCUUUUAAACAGAUUUUAGUUUAGAUUUUUAUUUUUUUCAUUUUAGUUUCAUUCAUUUUAAUUGUGUCCCCACCUGUUUAGUAGUUUAAUAGUAAAUAAAAUACAAGACCUUAACCAUACAC
RNAcentral lists this long non-coding RNA (752 nucleotides) under Vigna radiata. Its description in RNAcentral is "long non-coding RNA (VRAD_LNC012340)". Lineage: Eukaryota; Viridiplantae; Streptophyta; Magnoliopsida; Fabales; Fabaceae. The record is from RNAcentral.